RNAcentral lists this ribosomal RNA (441 nucleotides) under uncultured bacterium. Its description in RNAcentral is "bacterial SSU rRNA". It matches the Rfam family "Bacterial small subunit ribosomal RNA", at positions 11 to 438 of the family's 1533-position model. The record is from RNAcentral.
GUUUGAUCAUGGCUCAGAACGAACGCUGGCGGCGUGCCUAACACAUGCAAGUCGAACGCGAAAGGGGGCAACCCCCGGUAGCGUGGCAGACGGGUGAGUAACACGUGGGUAACCUACCCGAAGGUGGGGGAUAACCCUUCGAAAGGAGGGCUAAUACCGCAUGACAUCUCGAGGACCUCGGUCCUUGCGAUCAAAGCUGGCCUCUGUUUACAAGCUAGCGCCAACGGAUGGGCCCGCGCCCCAUUAGCUAGUUGGUGAGGUAACGGCUCACCAAGGCGACGAUGGGUAGCCGGCCUGAGAGGGCGAUCGGCCACACUGGAACUGCGACACGGUCCAGACUCCUACGGGAGGCAGCAGUGAGGANUCUUGCGCAAUGGGCGAAAGCCUGACGCAGCGACGCCGCGUGGAGGAUGAAGGUCUUCGGAUUGUNAACUCCUGUCG